GAUGAACGCUGGCGGCGUGCCUAACACAUGCAAGUCGAACGGAGAUUACGGACGGAAGUCUUCGGAUGGAAGCCUGUAAUUCUUAGUGGCGGACGGGUGAGUAACGCGUGGGCAACCUGCCCUAUACAGGGGGAUAGCAGCUGGAAACGGCUGGUAAGACCGCAUAAGUCGGUUAAAUCGCAUGAUUUGAUCGGGAAAUGAGCAAUCAGGUAUAGGAUGGGCCCGCGUCCGAUUAGCCAGUUGGCAGGGUAAAAGCCUACCAAAGCGACGAUCGGUAGCCGGACUGAGAGGUCGGACGGCCACACUGGGACUGAGACACGGCCCAAACUCCUACGGGAGGCAGCAGUGGGGGAUAUUGCACAAUGGAGGAAACUCUGAUGCAGCGACGCCGCGUGAGUGAAGAAGUAUUUCGGUAUGUAAAGCUCUAUCAGCAGGGAAGAUGAUGACGGUACCUGACUAAGAAGCCCCGGCUAACUACGUG
RNAcentral lists this ribosomal RNA (481 nucleotides) under uncultured bacterium. RNAcentral's name for it is "partial 16S ribosomal RNA". It matches the Rfam family "Bacterial small subunit ribosomal RNA", at positions 28 to 507 of the family's 1533-position model. The record is from RNAcentral.